CCCAGGCCGCGCAUGCGGGGAAAGGGGCGGGCGGGGGCGGCAACCGUCUCGUCGGGAGCCCGCCUCGCGCUGCUGACGUCAGCGAGCCGGUGGCUUGGGCGGGGCGCUGGCUGAGUGUCAUUUCCUGUGUCGCCUUGAACACCAGCAUGCAGAUCUCUGUUCCUGCCUGAGCUCAUAUUCCAGAGACAUUUCCGCAUCGCUGCUAUAACUGGGAAGAUGCCGGGCUCCUUGAGCUCAGCUCGGUUCCGAGACUGCCUCACCCCUCACCAGCGAAGCUCGGCCACUACAGCGGAAGGUGCUGCUCGUGGCGGGAAGCCCCUCAGGGGGUAGCUGUGCGCGCGCGUCCUUCCUGCCGUACCACAGAGAAGCUGCUCCCCGCUG
Long non-coding RNA from Neopsephotus bourkii (Bourke's parrot), 381 nucleotides. RefSeq lists it as uncharacterized. The transcript has 3 exons. The record is from RefSeq and is a predicted model, not a curated record. NCBI's taxonomy places the organism in Eukaryota, Metazoa, Chordata, Aves, Psittaciformes, Psittacidae.